GUGUCUUUUAAGUAUAGAUUGGUAUGGUUUACAAGGAUGAAAACGGGGUUGUUUUGUAAGAAAAAAAAUAUUGGGUGCGCGAGCACCCAAUACGGUUGCACAAAAGGGUGUAAUAAAAGUUCAGUUUUCACUGAUGAUCCUUCCGCAGGUUCACCUACGGAAA
RNAcentral lists this unclassified non-coding RNA (163 nucleotides) under uncultured fungus. RNAcentral's name for it is "sequence contains ITS1". The record is from RNAcentral. Lineage: Eukaryota; Fungi.